GCUCCUGGCUUACUCUUCUCUUCCUCACUCGGUUGAUCUGAUUAUUUUUCCCUUCACAUUUUGUCCCAAUAGCAAAUUACCAAUUCUAUGAAUUGCAAAGCAGCCUCAGAGACGCUGAAGGGGUAGAGAGAGGAGGGAGAGGAGGUGGUGGUGGUGGGGAUGCAAAGAUUGAAAGGGAUCUUUGCAAACACAAUCACGUUCUUAAAUGGAAAUGCGGGGCUUUAAACAAAUCUUACAUCUCUCCUCUUCCAUUCGCCCAAAACUCUGCAAUCAGGCGCAUGUUCCGCUGCCUCUAAAAGGAGCUGCUUUUUUUGGGGAAGGUCCCAUUUUAAUCAUUCACCUAAAAGCUAUGUUGUUUUUUUCUUUAGCCUUUUUUAUGUCAGCCCCAUGCGACUGUUCUUUUUUUCUGUUUACAGGAGUUACUCGGCUCUGCUGUUCAUUUUAAUCCGGAGCUUCAUGACUAAACGACCUCACAGUGCUGAGCUGCUUGCCAGCAUGGAGGCCGCGACCCCAGACGGAUGCCUCAGGAUCAUUUUCUGGCAAUUAAAAUGGAGCGCUGCUGCAGGAUUUUCGCCUGCAGUGCAACACUACAGUGCUGAUGAAUAAUUCUUCACCCAGCAAACUGGAAAGCUAGCCUUUCUUUCAUGUCGGCCCUUUGUUGAUUUACCAUUAAAACUUACUGCACCGUGCUACGAGUGGAGGACCCAGCUCUGUGGGAGCUGGCAAAAAGUAAAAAUGAGGAUGAAGCAGAUACGAGUACAUGUGCUCCAGGGUCUUUUUCCACAGCCUAAAGUGAGGAAGCCUCUCAGUUACAUGUGUGUGUUGUCAGUGUUUGUGUUUACAGUUUAGAUUUAUGGUACACAGGGCCUCUAUAUUUAUGUCCACUGCCUUUUUCUGUACUACUUACAGUUUAUGUUAAUUUUUCUUAUCAGUGUUUUUCAUUACGGGGCCUUGCUGCAUUGUGUGAGUGAUUAGACGGCCAUUUAUCUCUGUCCCCCCCCCCCAAAGCCCCCCAUCCCACCGCGUGCCGCCCAUACACACACGCACACCCACACUACCACACACACACCAAGUAUGAGCAGUGACGGAUGUGUGGUGACGGAGUGAGUGGGGUGCUCCGGCUGCAGAGGCUGAGUGUUGUUGGCAGUAUGUUAAAUGAAGUGGGUGUCCAGGCCAGGAAAGCUCCAGGCUGUUUUCUGUUCUCAGUUCUUAAGAGAAGACUCAUCAAUACUUUAAAGAUUUUUGUUUGAUUUACUUUUGGUGGCCCAGAAGACAAAAAUUUUGGCUAAUCAAAUACUAAAAGUAAAUGCCAUGAUAGGGAUGCUAAAAAUUGUACAAACAUCCUAAAAUGUAUGGGUCUGAUUGUAAAUCAGCUGAAUAAACCAGGAGUGAUAUAGUAUUUAACUUACGGCAUAUUUAUUGGUUAUCCAUUCUAGAACUUUAAAUACAAUUUAAAGUCUUUUCGACUUAACUCACAAAUAACUGCGCUCAGUUUUCUACCCCACAAAUAAACCUGUGACUGAAUAACACUUAAAGUUUGUAUUUUUUGACUAUCCAUAUAAGGGAAUUUAACAAGCAAAUCACUAAUUCCCCAUUGACUCGUGAAUCCACCUGUAAAGUGCAAAUGGUGUGUCUAAACCCUUCCUCUUGGUGUACUAGAUUAGGAGUGUGUGCCAUUGCUUUUCUUUCGUUCUUUAAAACUUUCUAUGUACUUAAAAAUGUUUUAUUUGGAAUAAGCUAACAUUGGAAAGCUUAAAUACAUUCAUACUACAAAUUAGUUAAAGGGAAUAUAGAAAGAUAAAAAUUUUAGAAAAAUGUAUAUACAUAUGCAUGUCCAUUGUUACACUCUGCACCAGGGCACCCUAAUUGGAGGUUAAUGAUUAAUUUUGGAGUCAUAUUUUCCUACAUAUGCAGAAUACCCUGGAAAAGGAGGAAGCUGGACAAACUCAGCUUGGGAAAUAAAGUCUGUUCUCUGCCGCUAUUGUUGAUACGGCUUCCUGUAGCUGUGGUUUUAAGUUUUGCAGUGCCUGUUGUGCUGGAAAUUCGCAAUUGGGAGUGUGAGAGUGCGGCCAGUGGUGGACACUGGCAGGAAGGAAUGCUGUCAAGCUGAAGAAGUCCUGCUGAACAUGUUUGGCUUGAGGGUAUUGAGAGACUAAGUGUAAGCAGCAAGGUUUUGAGGGAUGGAUGUAGUUCAAUUCUAAGUACUUAGGUCUCUGGAUGUUGUCAGGCUGUUGUGGCUAACAUGCCUCUUCAACAUAGUGUGGAUGUUUGGGAAAUAUCCUUGGACUAGCAGACUGGGAUGGUGGUUCCCCUGCAUAAGCAGGGGGACUGGAGGGUGUGCUCCAACCAUAAGAGUCACUUAUUAGUCUCUCCGGAAAGGCUUAUGCCAGGGUGCUGAUAAGGAGAGUCCAGCUGACUGUUGAAUCUUGGCGUAGCUUGGUUUUCAUCUUUGGUGGUUUUGGGGGGGGCUCGAUUGGAGGAAGAUGGCUUGUCCCCGUCAGACUGGAGAAGAGUUACAGCCUCAAGUGGAGGAGUUCAAGUAUCUUCAGUUGCUGUUCACAAAUGAGGGGAGAAUGGAGUGGGAGAUUGUUAGACGGAUCGGUGCGACUGCUGCUAUAAUGUGGAUGCUGCACUGUUCUAUUCUGGUGAUGAAGAGAGAGCUGAGAGAAAAGACAAAGCUCUUGAUUACCUGUUGGUCUUUGCUCCUACCCUCAUCUAUGGUCAUGAAAUCUGGAUCAUUACCAAAAGAAUAUGACCUGGGAUACAAGCAACUGAAAUUUGCUUUCUCCACGGGGUGGCUGGGCACUCCCUUAGAGAUAGUGUGAGGAGCUUGGUGAUCGGGGAGACGACACAAAUAGCAGUCCCUCACCCGGGACUCUGGGAGCUCCUCGGAUUUCCCAGAGUCCGGGGUGAGGGAAGUCUGAGAGUCCCUACAUGGUCUUGGAUAAAGCUAAAAUGAUGUGCACAAGUUUGAGGAGAAAUCUAUUUGCUGUGAUUAACACUGCAAUUACUUUACAGUUUUGAAACUAAUGUUUUUUUUUGUAGUUUAUUAUAUAAAACUGCGUCCAGAAAUCACUUAACAUAAAACCUGCAGAUCCAUUAUUCCUCUCACCAGUAGGGUUUCUUUAUUGAUCUUCUAACUCAUCUCCCUACAUAUAUGUUAUUUCCCCAGAAAGCAUUUUUAAGUGCCCUGGGAAUAAAUGAAAAUGUAUUAAAUGACUGGCUUGCCUUCAUUCAAAAAUGGAUUAACAACAUGAAAAAAUGCUGAAUGUCAACUGAAGAAUACCCUUCAGAAUAUAAAUUCAAACUGACAGCUAUUGUCAGUUUAAUAGAAGUGAGUUUUAGUUGGUUUUAAUUUAAUUGUAUCUUUGUUUAAACGAUUCAGUAGAAAACACAAUCACCCCUAAAGUAAAAAUACAUAACAAUGUCAAACUCUUACUCAUCAAUUGUACUUGAAGUCUUGGUGGCCAUUUGGUAUUUAUGUGCUCUCCUGGUGGAACAUUUACCGUGAAUAAAAUAUAAUGUUAAAGCUACAAAGGAAAUUCAGCCUGAUAAAAGUCGAUCACCUACCUGAAUGUCAAAACUUGUGCUUUUCUGAUUUGAGACAUGUAGGUUCAGGUUGGCCUCUGGUAUCCUGAGUGUCACUGUCACCAGCUACUUUCUUAUUAGUUUAUUGUGCUUUAGGUGUGGUAGGGUUAGGGUUAGACUGAAAAUAAGGUAGGCAUAUAAUGUACCCAGUGAGUUCUUGAUAUGAUCAUAAAGAAGUGUAAUAAGUAAAAAUAUUAAAUUGGUUUGUUAUGUUUCAUAAUGCCUCACUUUUCUGUUCAGCAGUUAUUUUAACAGGAGACUCUUUAAAUGUUUUCUACUCUCUGAAUAACUGCCAAACUAGAUGUUGAUAAUCUAAUGUUAUUAUUCAACAGUUACUCAAUACUCAAGUAGCCUUUUUACUGAAUAUUUAU
This is a long non-coding RNA of Cyprinodon tularosa, 3959 nucleotides long. RefSeq lists it as uncharacterized. The record is from RefSeq and is a predicted model, not a curated record. The transcript has 3 exons. Lineage: Eukaryota; Metazoa; Chordata; Actinopteri; Cyprinodontiformes; Cyprinodontidae.